Ailuropoda melanoleuca (giant panda) is the source of this 720-nucleotide long non-coding RNA. RefSeq lists it as uncharacterized. NCBI's taxonomy places the organism in Eukaryota, Metazoa, Chordata, Mammalia, Carnivora, Ursidae. The record is from RefSeq and is a predicted model, not a curated record. The transcript has 3 exons.
CUAGGACCCGUGGAAGUCCCGUCACAGUCCGGAGCAGGGGGUCUUCUGGUGAAGUGAGGGUGCCUUCCUCCUAAUGAGUAUUCCAGGUAUAACCUUGGCGGUGUUUCAGAUACCCCAAACUUAAAGAAACCUAAAAGGCCAUCAGGCUGGCCAUCUUCCCAUUUAGAGAAAAAUGGACAAGAAGCUGAUCUGGAAGACCCUGGAAUGAUUUCAAAUCUGAUAUGAAGGGGCCCUAGAUCUUGCGCAAGGCGGUUGCUUACUUGCACAAAGUCACAUGGCUGCCAGCCCGGGACUCCAACCCACAAUCCUGAGAUCAAAAUUUGUACACUCCACCGACUGAGCCAGCCAGGCCACUUAGACCUUGGAUCUUUGAUGGGAAUACUGAGCCAUUUGAUCAACUAACCCAAGAAUUCACUUUAUCUUUGUACUUCUAACUUUAUGAGCCAAUAAACUUCCUUAGUUUUUAGGCCAGUGUAAGUUGGAUUUUCUCUUUUGUGUGUGUGUGCUUUGAAUCUUUGGAUUUUCUCUCGUUUGUAGCUGAAAGCAUCCCUGGUAUAUUUCAUAACUUUAACAUCCGAGAGGCUGACUUUUUUCCUUGUUGUAACAUUUGUAUCGGACUAAGUUAGUCUGAUUCUUCAUCACUCAUGUCCUACUAUCCCUAGAGAAUACCACUGUCAGCCAAAUUCACAAAGAUCUUUGCCUCUGAGAAAUUUCUUUCCA